RNAcentral lists this ribosomal RNA (253 nucleotides) under uncultured bacterium. RNAcentral describes it as "partial 16S ribosomal RNA". It matches the Rfam family "Bacterial small subunit ribosomal RNA", at positions 524 to 776 of the family's 1533-position model. The record is from RNAcentral.
UACGUAGGGGGCAAGCGUUGUCCGGAAUCAUUGGGCGUAAAGAGCGUGUAGGCGGCCCGAUAAGUCCGCUGUGAAAGUCCAGGGCUCAACCCUGGAAUGCCGGUGGAUACUGUCGGGCUCGAAUCCGGAAGAGGUGAGUGGAAUUCCUGGUGUAGCGGUGAAAUGCGCAGAUAUCAGGAGGAACACCGGUGGCGAAGGCGGAUCUCUGGGCCUUACCUGACGCUGAGGCGCGAAAGCUAGGGGAGCAAACAGG